Molecule: ribosomal RNA, 497 nt
Filed under: uncultured bacterium
Lineage: Bacteria
Description: partial 16S ribosomal RNA
Rfam family: Bacterial small subunit ribosomal RNA
Source: RNAcentral
GAUGAACGCUGGCGGCGUGCCUAAUACAUGCAAGUCGAGCGAACAGACGAGGAGCUUGCUCCUUCGACGUUAGCGGCGGACGGGUGAGUAACACGUAGGUAACCUACCUAUAAGCCUGGGAUAACUUCGGGAAACCGGAGCUAAUACCGGAUAAUAUUUCGAACCGCAUGGUUCGAUAGUGAAAGAUGGCUUUGCUAUCACUUCUCGAUCGACCUGCGCCGUAUUAGCUAGUUGGUAAGGUAACGGCUUACCAAGGCAACGAUACGUAGCCGACCUGAGAGGGGGAUCGGCCACACUGGAACUGAGACACGGUCCAGACUCCUACGGGAGGCAGCAGUAGGGAAUCUUCCGCAAUGGGCGAAAGCCUGACGGAGCAACGCCGCGUGAGUGGUGAAGGUCUUCGGAUCGUAAAACUCUGUUAUUAGGGAAGAACAAACGUGUAAGUAACUGUGCACGUCUUGACGGUACCUAAUCAGAAAGCCACGGCUAACUACGUG